Dicentrarchus labrax (European seabass) is the source of this 1727-nucleotide long non-coding RNA. RefSeq lists it as uncharacterized. The record is from RefSeq and is a predicted model, not a curated record. NCBI's taxonomy places the organism in Eukaryota, Metazoa, Chordata, Actinopteri, Moronidae. The transcript has 3 exons.
AAAGAGAACAAACGCUGGCUGUUGACAGAGCGCUGACUGCAGGCAGCAGACAGAUGGUCCAGUCCCUCUCUUAAUUCGACGUCUUCAAAGGUUGCGAGUGGCGGCGGUGGCGGCGCCAUAUGUGACAGAGCUGCAGAUCCUGGAUCAGGCCAAAGAGCGCCGCCGCUACACGUCUGCACCACCUGCUGCCGCCAUGUUCCCGUGUUUAAACAGCUUCACUGUGUGUGUGUGUGUGUGUGUGUGUGUGUGUGUGUGUGUGUGUCACAUAUGUGAAAACCUUUCAACUCCACUUUAGACGUUUCCUCUUUAGUUGAAUCUCAGAGAAAGUUCAUUUGGAAACCUGAAAACAACAACAACAACUAAAACAACAACAACAACAACCUGAAAAGUUCAUGUGCUUCAGGAAUUUACCCGACAGCGUCCCACCUGACUUCGUACAGGACUGUGAGGACCUGCUACUGGAGGACUAAUUGAUCAUCAUUCACACAGAAACUGAGAGACAGUCUCGCUGUCGUCUCCUCGCUGUCAUCUUCAGUUUCUUAUGAAAACAACAUUUCAGACUUCAAUAAAAGAGGAACUGAUACUGCCGACCCACAAUCCCCUGCUGCUGCGGGGGAACUGGACCUGAUGGAGCCGUGUUGUGUUUGGACUGAAGACUGUUUUCAUGGAUUUAGUUCCUGCUCUGAUGAUGAUGUCACAGCGUUGAUGAUGUCGUCUGCAGGACCUGGUCUGGCUCUGGUCUGGACCUGCUGAUGAAACCAGGACCGGGUCUCUUUCCAGACUGUUCAGUGACAGAAGGUUCACAGACUGUUUGUUGUUGUUGUUAUUGUUGUUGAGCCACCAUAUGGAACGACACACAGCGCUACUGAGAUCAGCUGUUCAGGAGGUCACAGAUCAGGAACAAAAACUCAUCCUGACCGGCUCCUCGCGGGCUGCCGUCCCUCCUACACACAGAUUAAAACAUAGAUCCUGCUGGUGUGACAGCCUUUAAACAGGAGGAGUGGACCCUCUUCUUCUGCUGCUGCUCAACAAACUUCCAACAACUUCCUUCAGCCUCGUCAUUCUUUUAUAUUCUCCAUCCGUCCACACUGACAGGCUUAUGCACCACGUAGGACGUCCUCAUUGUCUCCAGCAGACUGUGUUUUCAUACCAACGUGUGGGUGGACGUGUUUUAUGUGCAGAAAGAACAACCACAGGCGCUUCAAGAGAAAAGAUGUUUCUUUUAUCGCUCAGAUCGAAUAUCUGUAAAAACUCACUCGUCUAUCACAGUUCACUUUCAGUCCCGAGGGAGUCCAGAUUGCAGAGUAAACCUCCUAAAACAACACGCCGGGGGGGUCAAACACGACACUGUCGGGACGUCCUGACCCGAAUCUGGUUCCUGUGUAAACACUGAGAGGCUAAAAAUCGCCUGGACGUCAGACGGAGACAGAAACCUGCUGAGGACGGACGCAGCGCUCGGCUGGACGGCGCUUUUACUUUACAAACGUUACCUCAUUGUGUCUCAUACACACACAUAUAUAAAUAUAUACAUAAACUGUAGUGGUCAGAAAUGUCCAAAAUAAUAUUAAAAUGAUGGACAAUUGAUAUUAGUUGUAUUCCACAUAUUACUGGGCGGAGGUCAUAUAGCUCCAUUAGUACUUUUAUAGGUGGUCAAAACCACAAACUCACUGUGCUGUCUUAUAAACUAAUAUUGUAUAAACUGUAAUAUUGUAUUAACUGUAAUAUUC